RNAcentral lists this ribosomal RNA (1121 nucleotides) under Bacillus pumilus. RNAcentral describes it as "bacterial SSU rRNA". It matches the Rfam family "Bacterial small subunit ribosomal RNA", at positions 36 to 1142 of the family's 1533-position model. The record is from RNAcentral. Lineage: Bacteria; Bacillati; Bacillota; Bacilli; Caryophanales; Bacillaceae.
CGGGGGGGCGUGCUAUACAUGCAGUCGAGCGGACAGAAGGGAGCUUGCUCCCGGAUGUUAGCGGCGGACGGGUGAGUAACACGUGGGUAACCUGCCUGUAAGACUGGGAUAACUCCGGGAAACCGGAGCUAAUACCGGAUAGUUCCUUGAACCGCAUGGUUCAAGGAUGAAAGACGGUUUCGGCUGUCACUUACAGAUGGACCCGCGGCGCAUUAGCUAGUUGGUGAGGUAACGGCUCACCAAGGCGACGAUGCGUAGCCGACCUGAGAGGGUGAUCGGCCACACUGGGACUGAGACACGGCCCAGACUCCUACGGGAGGCAGCAGUAGGGAAUCUUCCGCAAUGGACGAAAGUCUGACGGAGCAACGCCGCGUGAGUGAUGAAGGUUUUCGGAUCGUAAAGCUCUGUUGUUAGGGAAGAACAAGUGCAAGAGUAACUGCUUGCACCUUGACGGUACCUAACCAGAAAGCCACGGCUAACUACGUGCCAGCAGCCGCGGUAAUACGUAGGUGGCAAGCGUUGUCCGGAAUUAUUGGGCGUAAAGGGCUCGCAGGCGGUUUCUUAAGUCUGAUGUGAAAGCCCCCGGCUCAACCGGGGAGGGUCAUUGGAAACUGGGAAACUUGAGUGCAGAAGAGGAGAGUGGAAUUCCACGUGUAGCGGUGAAAUGCGUAGAGAUGUGGAGGAACACCAGUGGCGAAGGCGACUCUCUGGUCUGUAACUGACGCUGAGGAGCGAAAGCGUGGGGAGCGAACAGGAUUAGAUACCCUGGUAGUCCACGCCGUAAACGAUGAGUGCUAAGUGUUAGGGGGUUUCCGCCCCUUAGUGCUGCAGCUAACGCAUUAAGCACUCCGCCUGGGGAGUACGGUCGCAAGACUGAACUCAAAGGAAUUGACGGGGGCCCGCACAAGCGGUGGAGCAUGUGGUUUAAUUUCGAAGCAACGCGGAAGACCUUACCAGUCUUGACAUCCUCUGACAACCCUAGAGAAUAGGGCUUUCCCUUUCGGGGACAGAGUGACAGAUAGAUGCAUGGUUGUCGUCAGCUUCGUGUCGUGAGAAUGUUGGUUAGUCCCGCACGAGCGCAACCUGAUCUUAGUUGCAGCAUUCAGUUUGGGCACACUCUA